RNAcentral lists this ribosomal RNA (497 nucleotides) under uncultured bacterium. Its description in RNAcentral is "partial 16S ribosomal RNA". It matches the Rfam family "Bacterial small subunit ribosomal RNA", at positions 28 to 507 of the family's 1533-position model. The record is from RNAcentral.
GAUGAACGCUGGCGGCGUGCCUAAUACAUGCAAGUCGAGCGAACGGACGAGAAGCUUGCUUCUCUGAUGUUAGCGGCGGACGGGUGAGUAACACGUGGAUAACCUACCUAUAAGACUGGGAUAACUUCGGGAAACCGGAGCUAAUACCGGAUAAUAUUUUGAACCGCAUGGUUCAAAAGUGAAAGACGGUCUUGCUGUCACUUAUAGAUGGAUCCGCGCUGCAUUAGCUAGUUGGUGAGGUAACGGCUUACCAAGGCAACGAUGCAUAGCCGACCUGAGAGGGUGAUCGGCCACACUGGAACUGAGACACGGUCCAGACUCCUACGGGAGGCAGCAGUAGGGAAUCUUCCGCAAUGGGCGAAAGCCUGACGGAGCAACGCCGCGGGAGUGAUGAAGGUCUUCGGAUCGUAAAACUCUGUUAUUAGGGAAGAACAUAUGUGUAAGUAACUGUGCACAUCUUGACGGUACCUAAUCAGAAAGCCACGGCUAACUACGUG